This 197-nucleotide ribosomal RNA is filed under the name uncultured bacterium. RNAcentral's name for it is "partial 16S ribosomal RNA". It matches the Rfam family "Bacterial small subunit ribosomal RNA", at positions 328 to 539 of the family's 1533-position model. The record is from RNAcentral.
ACGCUCGACACCUACGAGAGGCAGCAGUGGGGAAUAUUGCACAAUGGGGGAAACCCUGAUGCAGCGACGCCGCGUGAGUGAAGAAGUAUUUCGGUAUGUAAAGCUCUAUCAGCAGGGAAGAAGAUGACGGUACCUGAGUAAGAAGCCCCGGCUAACUACGUGCCAGCAGCCGCGGUAAUCUGAGCGGCUGGCAAGGC